This 63-nucleotide transfer RNA is filed under the name Flustra foliacea (greater hornwrack). RNAcentral describes it as "tRNA-Lys". It matches the Rfam family "tRNA". From Rfam's summary of the family: Transfer RNA (tRNA) molecules are approximately 80 nucleotides in length. Their secondary structure includes four short double-helical elements and three loops (D, anti-codon, and T loops). Further hydrogen bonds mediate the characteristic L-shaped molecular structure. tRNAs have two regions of fundamental functional importance: the anti-codon, which is responsible for specific mRNA codon recognition, and the 3' end, to which the tRNAs corresponding amino acid is attached (by aminoacyl-tRNA synthetases). tRNAs cope with the degeneracy of the genetic code in two manners: having more than one tRNA (with a specific anti-codon) for a particular amino acid; and 'wobble' base-pairing, i.e. permitting non-standard base-pairing at the 3rd anti-codon position. Lineage: Eukaryota; Metazoa; Bryozoa; Gymnolaemata; Cheilostomatida; Flustridae. The record is from RNAcentral.
AAUCCAAUAGCUUAAAAAAAGCUUUAGACUUUUAAUCUGAAAAUGAAAAUAUUUCUUGGGUUG